Molecule: microRNA precursor, 154 nt
Filed under: Oryza brachyantha (malo sina)
Lineage: Eukaryota; Viridiplantae; Streptophyta; Magnoliopsida; Poales; Poaceae
Description: MIR812 microRNA precursor family
Rfam family: MIR812 microRNA precursor family
Source: Rfam by way of RNAcentral
CAAUGUUUUGACUCGUCGUCUUAUUUGAAUUUUUUGUGAUUAAUAUUUUUAUUGUUACUAGAUGAUAAAACAUAAAUAGUACUUUAUGCGUAACUAAUUAUUUUAAGUUUUUGUACAAAUUUUUCAAAUAAGACGAACGGUCAAAACGUUGGAC